Molecule: ribosomal RNA, 496 nt
Filed under: uncultured bacterium
Lineage: Bacteria
Description: partial 16S ribosomal RNA
Rfam family: Bacterial small subunit ribosomal RNA
Source: RNAcentral
GAUGAACGCUGGCGGCGUGCCUAAUACAUGCAAGUCGAGCGAACGGACGAGAAGCUGGCUUCUCUGAGGUUAGCGGCGGACGGGUGAGUAACACGUGGAUAACCUACCUAUAAGACUGGGAUAACUACGGGAAACCGGAGCUAAUACCGGAUAAUAUUUUGAACCGCAUGGUUCAAAGUGAAAGACGGUCUUGCGGUCACUUAUAGAUCGAUCCGCGCUGCAUUAGCUAGUUGGUAAGGUAACGGCUUACCAAGGCAACGAUGCAUAGCCGACCUGAGAGGGUGAUCGGCCACACUGGAACUGAGACACGGUCCAGACUCCUACGGGAGGCCGCAGUAGGGAAUCUUCCGCAAUGGACGAAAGCCUGACGGAGCAACGCCGCGUGAGUGAUGAAGGUCUUAGGAUCGUAAAACUCUGUUAUUAGGGAAGAACAAAUGUGUAAGUAACUGUGCACAUCUUGACGGUGCCUGAUCAAAAAGCCACGGCUAACUACGUG